Molecule: ribosomal RNA, 370 nt
Filed under: uncultured bacterium
Lineage: Bacteria
Description: bacterial SSU rRNA
Rfam family: Bacterial small subunit ribosomal RNA
Source: RNAcentral
AGAGGGUGCGAGCGUUAAUCGGAAUUACUGGGCGUAAAGCGCACGUAGGCGGCUUGGUAUGUCGGGUGUGAAAUCCCCGGGCUCAACCUGGGAACUGCAUCCGAAACUGCCUUGCUCGAGUAUGGGAGAGGGAAGUGGAAUUUCCGGUGUAGCGGUGAAAUGCGUAGAUAUCGGAAGGAACACCAGUGGCGAAGGCGACUUCCUGGACCAAUACUGACGCUCAGGUGCGAAAGCGUGGGGAGCAAACAGGAUUAGAUACCCUGGUAGUCCACGCCCUAAACGAUGAGAACUGGAUGUCGGGAGGGUCUGCCUUCCGGUGUCGUAGCUAACGCGUUAAGUUCUCCGCCUGGGAAGUACGGCCGCAAGGUUG